Molecule: ribosomal RNA, 168 nt
Filed under: Gloeophyllum sepiarium
Lineage: Eukaryota; Fungi; Basidiomycota; Agaricomycetes; Gloeophyllales; Gloeophyllaceae
Description: 5.8S subunit ribosomal RNA
Rfam family: 5.8S ribosomal RNA
About the family: 5.8S ribosomal RNA (5.8S rRNA) is a component of the large subunit of the eukaryotic ribosome. It is transcribed by RNA polymerase I as part of the 45S precursor that also contains 18S and 28S rRNA.
Source: RNAcentral
AUUAUAAAACAACUUUCAACAACGGAUCUCUUGGCUCUCGCAUCGAUGAAGAACGCAGCGAAAUGCGAUAAGUAAUGUGAAUUGCAGAAUUCAGUGAAUCAUCGAAUCUUUGAACGCACCUUGCGCUCCUUGGUAUUCCGAGGAGCAUGCCUGUUUGAGUGUCAUGAA